GCCCAUCGCAGAACUGCUGGCCAUCCCGGUCAUGCGGAAUGUUGCGUUUGGAAGGAUCUCUUGCCGAGGCUCGAACAACCAGUCAAAGUCCAACUUGACAGUGGCCACUGCCCAUAGAGGGUGCUAGGCCCGUAAGGCGGUUGUUUGGCUUCGCUGAUCUCUUCCCAGAGUCGGAUUGCUUGAGAGUGCAGUCCAAAGUGCGAGGUAAACUCCUCGUAAGGCUAAAUAUGAUCCCUAGACCGAUAGCAAACAAGUACAGUGAUGGAAAUUUGAAAAGAACUUUGAAGAGAGAGUUAACAGUACGUGAAACUGUGCGGCAGUAAACACAGCCUUCCUCGAAGUUGUCCGGGGAGACCCAGCCUUAGGGCGUGUCGGCUCUUGGCACCUGAUCAGCAAUGACGGGUGUCGGGGUCGUUCGGCGCGCCCGCGGGUGCAUCUAUCCCCGGAUUUACGGCAGGAACUGUUGGGACUGGACCAAGGGCCUGGGAAGAAGUUUUCGCUCCGGCGUCAGCUCCCGGUGUCCCGGCUCCGGACCCGACAGGCCUUGUGGCCGACUUGUACAGCAAGCAACGCUUCUGUUGCGGUCGGCCCUUCCCUGUCGAGUAGGUCGGCGGAGGCUGUGACCCGUCUUGAAACACGGACCAAGGAGUCUAACAUGUAUCCAAGUCAUUGGGUCGACUAAACCCAAAGGCGCAGUGAAAGCAAAGGCUCGCUUGUCGGGCCGAGGGAUGAGCCUUAACCGGUGCAAUCCCGCCACUUCCAAUCAUCCUCGUAUGUUGGGAGUAGGUAGAGGAUAGAUGUUGGGACCCNAAAGAUGGUGAACUAUGCCUGUUCAGGUUGAAGUCAGGAGAA
Molecule: ribosomal RNA, 852 nt
Filed under: Temora stylifera
Lineage: Eukaryota; Metazoa; Arthropoda; Copepoda; Calanoida; Temoridae
Description: partial large subunit ribosomal RNA
Rfam family: Eukaryotic large subunit ribosomal RNA
Source: RNAcentral